CAAGUUCACAAUAUAUAGAUUUAAUACAGCAUGGUCAGUGUGUCCUGGCCGGUAUUUUUCUGUCUGGCCUGGCCUAACUCAGUCAUGCAGUAGUGAGUAACUAUUUUAGUAUAACAACACUUUUGCUUAGUUUCAUUUGGUUAUGUGAUGUGAAAGUAUUGUUGGUGAAAGGUUUGAAUUACCUGCAGAUAACAAAUUACGUGUACUGCUGUGUGGGGGUUUGACGGAUUUUUGUAGUAACACCAACAUAGCAAGUACAUGCACAUUAAAGGUUGCUUAUCUGAUUUAUUAUCAGGUAUGUUCAGAGUUUUAGCGAGUUGGUUGAGUUUCAAAAUGAAGAAGAAACAGAUGAAGUUACAAACAGAUUCACGCAAAGUUUGAUGUACAUCAAACAGCGCCAUGACAACGUUGUAGAGACCAUGGCCCAGGGCAUCAUGGAACUUCGAGAGAAGGAGGGUGAUGAUGCCUUCCAUCCAUCAAUAGAGUAUUUUCUAGGUAAUGUAAUUAAUAUGAUACUCUUUGUACCAGAAUCAUAGAAUAUCUUUCCAUAUCAGGGCUGUGCUCUAGAAGCACCCAGGUGCCACAGGUGCCUAACUUUUGACUUUGGGUGACUGAAAAAACUCACUUUUUUCAUAUAAGUUUAAGUGCUGGAUAUAUAUUUUUUCAUGGUUAGGAACCUCUGGGCUUUUCACAAUUUUUCCACAGCCUUGUAUAUAGAAUAGAUUUCUUACUCCAGACAAAAACAUUAAGUUUUUUUAGAAGUGGAAAAAUGUUAAGAUUGAGUUCUAUGACUAGAAAAUUACAUGUAAUUUCAAGUUAUUUGUUAAAAUGGUUUUUACACCUGGAUAUGGUAACUGUCGUCGCAUGGCUGCAUUACCAUUUCUUUGUUUGUUUGGUCACACAGCUGCGCGACUGGUUACCAUGUGACCUGGCAACAGUUGAAAAUGUCUCAUACAUACAACGUAAUAAAAGUUGCAAGCGAUGUUUCCAUUUCAGCUCAUUGUUUAUCAAACUCAGGCUAAAUUAAGGUCAGAAAUCACUCUAAGUAUUUUGUCAAUUAUGUAUUCCACUAGUUUUCUCAAAGAUUAUUCUCGAUGCUGAUUUAUUAUCUGAUGUUUCGU
Orbicella faveolata is the source of this 1121-nucleotide long non-coding RNA. Lineage: Eukaryota; Metazoa; Cnidaria; Anthozoa; Scleractinia; Merulinidae. The record is from RefSeq and is a predicted model, not a curated record.